This 367-nucleotide unclassified non-coding RNA is filed under the name fungal sp. RNAcentral describes it as "partial internal transcribed spacer region". The stretch from base 1 to 46 matches the Rfam family "Eukaryotic small subunit ribosomal RNA", at positions 1786 to 1831 of the family's 1831-position model. Lineage: Eukaryota; Fungi. The record is from RNAcentral.
AAGUCGUAACAAGGUUUCCGUAGGUGAACCUGCGGAAGGAUCAUUAUCACGUAUCCACGUAUCAACCAUUGUGAACUGUUUGUGCCCUUUGAAAAUUUUGCAAGAGGGAGUGUUGUGAAUAAGCGUUAUCCAAACCAUGAUGAUUUGAGAUGGUUGAGUUUAUUCACGGCCAACAAUUUUCACGAAUUGUACUUCUUCAUUUUCAAAGUGUAUUUUUCUCAAAUCAAAUUUCAUUCAUUAACAAUUUAAACCCAUAUUUUAAUUUAAAUUGUGAACUGAAAUAAUUUUUUACUCGCGGUAAAACACGAGAAGAAAUAAAUCUUACGAAACAUAAGAACAACUCUUAGCAACGGAUAUCUUGGUUCUC